GUGCCAGCCGCCGCGGUAAUACCGGCAGCCCGAGUGAUGGCCGAUCUUAUUGGGCCUAAAGCGUCCGUAGCUGGCUGCGCAAGUCCGUCGGGAAAUCCACUCGCCCAACGAGUGGGCGUCCGACGGAAACUGCACAGCUUGGGACCGGAAGGCUCGAAGGGUACGUUCGGGGUAGGAGUGAAAUCCCGUAAUCCUGGACGGACCACCGAUGGCGAAAGCACCUCGGAAGGACGGAUCCGACAGUGAGGGACGAAAGCCAGGGUCUCCAACCGGAUUAGAAACCCCGGUAGUCC
RNAcentral lists this ribosomal RNA (293 nucleotides) under uncultured bacterium. RNAcentral's name for it is "partial 16S ribosomal RNA". It matches the Rfam family "Archaeal small subunit ribosomal RNA", at positions 455 to 747 of the family's 1478-position model. The record is from RNAcentral.